Molecule: ribosomal RNA, 166 nt
Filed under: Macrolobium discolor
Lineage: Eukaryota; Viridiplantae; Streptophyta; Magnoliopsida; Fabales; Fabaceae
Also listed under: 1 other name
Description: 5.8S ribosomal RNA
Rfam family: 5.8S ribosomal RNA
About the family: 5.8S ribosomal RNA (5.8S rRNA) is a component of the large subunit of the eukaryotic ribosome.
Source: RNAcentral
AAUGACUCUCGGCAACGGAUAUCUCGGCUCUCGCAUCGAUGAAGAACGCAGCGAAAUGCGAUACUUGGUGUGAAUUGCAGAAUCCCGUGAACCAUCGAGUCUUUGAACGCAAGUUGCGCCCGAAGCCAUUAGGCCGAGGGCACGUCUGGCUGGGUGUCACACAACG